Molecule: unclassified non-coding RNA, 5939 nt
Filed under: Leishmania donovani
Lineage: Eukaryota; Euglenozoa; Kinetoplastea; Trypanosomatida; Trypanosomatidae
Description: gene:LdHU3.23.0630(CDS-product:ATP-binding_casset te_protein_subfamily_G_member_5)
Source: RNAcentral
CCGUCACAUCUCUGACUCUCCACGAACAACACCACACUCACCAAUACCCAUAACACAGAGGAAACAGGACAAGCUAAAAAAGAGAGAAAUCAAAGGACGCGCGCAUCCGAUUUCGUGUACGAGAUCCUCUCCCCUUCUACAUUUUCUGUGCCUGCGUACGGUUCUCUGCCUUUGGUGCACCCCCCCCCCUCGCACACGCCGCUUCUUUCUUGCCGCUUCCCAGCCACUUGCUCGAGCACAAGGCCAACGAUCCACUCACGGGCGUCAUUGCGCGCACGCACGCGCACACACACAGAGAGAGGCAACGCUGCCGGCGUCCGGCUCUUCUAUACAACUAAAUCCACGCAUACUCGUAGCUGUGUGAGGGAUCCUUUCUCCCUCUCCCUCUCCCUCUCUCCUCGUUCCUCCACUCUCACGCUGACAGACGCACGCCCACACGCACGCAGCUUGUAUUGUUUUUCGUGCGCUCCGGAUUCCAGUUCUCUUUACCUUCUUUUCCCUCUCUUGUCUCGUAUCCCGCUUCUUCCUCAUUCCUUUUUGUGGAUCGUUUCGCUCUGUGUUGCGCUUGGCCCUCCUCCCUCGCUCAGUCUCUCUCUCUCUCGCCUUGUACACACAUAUAUAUAUAUAUAUAUCAAUACAUUAUAUAUAUCGAUAUAUAUAUAUAUAUGCUACUUGUACGGUCUCCUUCCCCCUCGGUGUGUUUUGCAAUAACCUGUGCUUGUGGCCGGCCACCUCCUCUCCCUGUCCCCCCCUCCUCCCGCGCCUUCUCUUUCUGCUGUUGCUGCUGCUGCUCUCACUGUGCCUGGUCACUGCGACGAUUGUUGUUUGGUUGCUUGCCGCUGCAUCUUGUGCCUGGGCCGUGUAUAUAUAGAGGUGCACCUUUUACUUCUUUCUUCGUGGUUGCGUGUGUGUGCGUCCUCGUGCGCCCCUCCCCCUGCAUCCUCAGUGCACACAAGACAAAUACGCGCCCUAUCGAUACGUGCACGCUCACACUCGGCAGGUUUUUUUUAUUCACACCGGUAAAGCAACAGCCUAAGGCACCUUGCGGGUGACGAGUUGCUGACAUCUCCAUCAGAGCAGUGCUCUUCUCUUCUGCCUUUCCUGCCUCACCUCUGUGUGUCCUCAUUCAUUGGCGACCAGUGGCCGUCGCUUCACACCUUCGAAAGCCUUGCACCGGGCGAGCUGCAGAGGCUCGUACUUCGGGGUAACUUCAUGAUGGCGCCGCAGCGGAAAGAAGCACGCAGCGCCGUGCCGCGCAGCCACCACGCCUCAUCACUCAGCGCAGCCACUACUCUGGUGGCUGUGUUCCUUGUGCUCCUCCUCCUUGCCGCUUGCGCAUCUGUCACUCAAGCGCUGCAUGUGAGCCCGGCGUCCGCAGAGGCAGCGAUGUGGAGCCGCAUGGAUGUGUUCGCGUCCUCUGGUUCGCACUCAGACUCGAUCACGUGCCUCAACGGCGGCAUCCCUGCCGGCGACCACUGCACCUGCCCCCUCUACUACACCUCGGCGAACUGCUCGCAGCGGCAGUGCCCCAACUCCAUUGGAGGCGAAGGGCCGCAUCGCGUGAUGCCUGUGAACUCGACGAACAAGUUCUGUGAUCACUGCGACGAAAAGGAAUUCACCGGCCUCAGCUGUCAGAUAUGCCAGAGCAACGCGGCUUGCAUGCAGUACGCCGGCAGCGCUGCUGAGUGCGACAACAGCACGUCCGUCCGCGGUGACAGCAAGCAAUUCCAGUGCACGCUAAAGAACGAGUUCUUCGUUCGACUCAUGAGCGGCAACCGCAACAUCACCGUUGAGGUUCUGUUCAACUGUUCCACAUCAGACGGCACCGCCUUCAGGAAGGGUGAGCAGGGUGUGUGCAACAUGGCCAUCUAUCGCAUAGAACCGAAUCACAGCUAUGUGGAUCCCUUUUUCCGCUGCGACGCGCAGGAGUGCUCGCUCAAGUAUGGCCAGAAAGACCCUGACCCGAACGACGCGAACAACAACACGCUGCGCCAGCGCUUUUUCCGCGCCGCUCGCACCUCUGGACAGGUGGCGCUCAUCGUCGAGUGCGCUUUACUCGCGCUUCUUGGUGGCUUCACUGCACUGCUGGGGCCCAGACGCACCAAGUCCAUCACUGUGGCUCUCGCCUCCGUGAUCACCGUCACGGUGCUGGUGUACAUCUCCUUGAUGAUGCUCAGUAUGCAGUCCAUCUCCGCCCCGGAGCAGACCGUCGUCUACGAGUGCAAGAAGACGCAUUGCGCCUGCGCCGAGGACCCGCCGCCGCAGUACGACCCGAUAUGCUCACAAAAAGAGGAGCUGAAUAACCAAAUCCUGCCGUCCAUUAAGAACAGCAUCCGGUUUGCCUGCGGACAGAACACCUCGCUCUGCGAGCUGACGCUGGCGGAUCUCUCGCUGGUGUUCCAGGCGGACUGCCGCGCCUCCGAGUGCGUCGACACCGUCCGCUUCCCUGAUGACUCGUCGGACGACAGCAACGACGACAGCGGCGGCGGCGGCGGUGCGGCCGUCCUGGCGAAGCUGAAUCUCGGCAUCCUUCUCGUGCUGCUGGUGCUACUCGUGGUGAGCGGGAUUGGAACUCACUAUUACUACACUCGCAGCAUCUCCUGCGAGCGUGACAGGGAUUUCCUCAUCACCUUCCACGUGAGCACGCCGUACGGCGACGACGGCGGCAGCCACGAGACCGGCGACCCAGAUGUCCUCGAUGAGCGCCACGUGCACCUGAACGGCAGCGCGGACGGCAGCGCUGUUGAGCACGAGCAGGAGCCUCUGCUGUACAAUUCGCCGGUACCGCGAGCCGAGCGGCGGGGCUUUCUUUCACGGGGUGUUUCCAGCAGUCGUCACUCUGAGGGCAACGUCUCUGUUCGCGCGAGCGUGUAUGAGCAGGCGCGCGCCUUGACGCCGGCGGCGUGCGCGCGCAUUGAGGAGCUGCGCCGGCUCACCGCCGCACCGCUGGAGUUGCAGGUAUCAGAGUUGCGGUAUACCUUGAAUACGCCUCUGCUGGGGGCUGCGGACGAAGGUUCGCAGCGCACGCUGCUUCACCGCAUCAACUUCACAGUGCACUCGGGGGACGUGCUGGCUAUCAUGGGACCCUCCGGUGCCGGUAAAACCACGCUGCUGGAUUUGCUCUCGGCUCGCGCUAAGUCAGGGGAAGUCAGCGGCACCAUUGCCCUGAACGGUACGCCCAUCACGACGACCGGUUCCCGCGCGGCGCAAUACCGCAACAUCAUUGGCUACGUCUCGCAGGAGGACACGUUGCUGCCGUCCCUGACUGUCGAGCAGACAAUCCUCUACGCCGCACGGCUAAAGCUGCCGAAGGCGCUUUCGCACAGCACUGUGCGUCGCAUUGUGGCGCGCGUCAUCGAGACGCUGAAGCUGCAGCACUGCGCACAGACGCUCAUUGGUGGCGAGACGACACGCGGCAUCAGCGGCGGCGAGAAGCGCCGCGUGUCUAUCGCUGUGGAAUUGUUGGCGAACCCGCGUAUCCUGUACCUUGACGAGCCAACGAGCGGCUUGGACGCGGUGAGCGCGAAGCGCGUGGUGGAGGCGGUGGUGGCUCUGGCGAAGGACUCGACGAUGCGCAUAUAUGCCAUGCACUACUUUGCGUUCCAGCCCAUCGUCAUCUUCAGUAUCCAUCAGCCCUCACAAGAGAUCUACGAGCUUUUCGACAAGGUCCUGCUGCUAUCGCGGGGAAUGAGCAUCUACUGCGGCUCUGCCGCGUCCGCCGCGGCGACGAUCGAGCGGCGGGUCACGGCCGCCUUCGGCCACACGCGAGAGGUACCGAGGAGGGAGGCGCACAACAACCAGGCGGAGUACCUUAUGAAGGUCGAAGAGAUUCUCGACGACGCCGUGCGCGCGGAGUUGCAGGAAGAGGACGCACUCGAGAACACCAGUACUGCAGGUGCGCCUUACGGCAGCGCCUCGGCCGAUGGGUCUCCACUGGCCGCGGCUCGCACGCAAGUGCCGCCGUGCCGCAGUCCCGGGUCACCGCCCCCGCGCGCGCCGUCGCAGUCCGGCGGCUGCCACGACUUCGACGACGGUGAGCAGGUAAGCGGGGCCGACAUCCUGAGCACCACGUUUGGCUUCCGUAUGUACUACGCGAACGUGUAUGAACAGCUGCAGCUACUCGUCUCUCGCUCCAUCACGUGCCUGUUCGGCUCCUUCCACCUAGUGAUAUGCCACUCGGCCGUGGUGGCGUGCCUUGCGACGCUCAUGUGUGUCCUCUACCGCGAGCAGGCCCUUGAUCUUCCGGGGUCGCUCAACCGCGCCGGCUCGGUCUCUUUCCUGCUGCUCGUCACCUCCUUUUUGUCUCUUAGCUGCCUUGAGCAGCUCAUCGUCGAGCGGAAGCUGUUCAACGUGGAGCGGGAGAACGGCUUCUACACCACAUGUCCGUAUCUGAUCUCCAAGAUCGUCGUCGACAUCAUCCCGCUUCGCAUUAUUCCAGCCAUGGUGCUCGCCUCGGUCAUCUACUUCCCCAUGGGCUUCCGCGUCGACGCAGGACUGCACUUCUUCUACUUUAUCCUCAUCAUCGUGCUCUUCUCCAUCUGCAUGACGAUGGUGAUUCUCUGCAUCGGCAUCGUCAGCGGCUCCUUCGGCGCCGCGGCGCUGCUCAGCAGCGUCUUUAUCUUGUGGAACUUCGUCUUUGGCGGCGCGCUGGUGCAGGCCGAGACGAUCCCGCCCUCGCUGCGCGCCUUCAAGUCCAUUUCGCCCUUCUUCCUCGCUUUUGAGUCGCUCAUGGUGAACGAGCUCGACGGACAGCACUGCGUCUUCUCCCCGACAGACGAGACGGGGAAGAAGUCGUCGGCGAGCAUCCCAAUUAUGUGUGUACAGUACCUGGCAAACAUCGGGCUGAAGCCGGAGCGGUUCAACGCCGAUGUAAUGCAGCUGGCUGUGUACUGCCUCCUUUUCGUGGGCCUCUCCUGGAUGCUGCUCUCAAGCUGCUCGAAGCUCGUUCGCUAGUCGGCGAUGCACGGUGGAUGUGCGAGGGCGAAACGCUCCUGACGUGUGGUGGUGGGGGAAGGCAGAAAAAGUAGAAGUGAGGGAUGAUAUGCGAAGCGAGCGGGUGCGGGUGCGGGCUGCGGGCGGGAGGGGGCGGCGGCAAGGAUGCGAGGAUGCGGGAAUAGGUGUUGGGUGCCGUGUGCUUUGUUGCGUGAAUUGUGUUCUCUCCUCCUCUCGUAUAGAUGGCGGCCGCCCCGUCGUCCACCGUUGGCCCCCCCCCCCGCCCCCCUCCCCCGCUCCCUUCGACAAAGGACUCCUUCCAUUUUUAUGCUUUAUGCAUACCUAUAUAUAUAUAUAUAUACAUAUAUAUAUGGCUUUGAAAGCGAGAGAGCUCUCCCUUCGCCGCGUUUGUGGUGUACGUGUGUGUAUCGCCUUCCCACUGCCCAGGGACGUGCUGGCUGCCUCGUUUGUUGCUGCGUUUGAGUGCUGCUGCUACGCACUCACCUUCCCUCUCUUUUCCUUCAACAAAUCGCGUGGACAUCCGCGUCUGUCCUGCGCUUGUGCGCUGAGGUAUUUGUGUCUCUCCUCCCUCCAUCCCCUCCUCGCCCGCCUUUGCGCGCACGCACGCAUGUAUUGAUUUUCUUCUGCGGGGAUUGCCUUUUCGUCUUCGAUUGCUCAUCCGUUGGCUUUGGCGUUGUGCGUCGCAUGCAUCUCUCCGUCACCGUGAGUUGGCCGCUUUCAGGUCUCUUCUUCCCUCGUUGGUUCUCUCGCGGGUGCUUGCCUGGCUGCGUGCAAGCGUCGGUGUGCGUCGUGGAUGAUUUUCCCCGUUGGCUGUUGUGCGUUUCGAGCGUCACAGCGUUCUCCUCUCUCUGUGCUGAUAGUCGCUGUUUCCGUUUUCGGUGACCCUCUCUCUCUUGUGCCAUGCCCUCAUCCAGUGUCACCGCCUCAACCCCCACCCCCACUCCCCCAAAGAGAACGUAAAAGAGUAUCGCGAGUAUCUUCGAGCC